This 67-nucleotide transfer RNA is filed under the name Hylomys suillus (short-tailed gymnure). Its description in RNAcentral is "tRNA-Cys". It matches the Rfam family "tRNA". From Rfam's summary of the family: Transfer RNA (tRNA) molecules are approximately 80 nucleotides in length. Their secondary structure includes four short double-helical elements and three loops (D, anti-codon, and T loops). The record is from RNAcentral. RNAcentral also lists the same sequence under 1 other name. Lineage: Eukaryota; Metazoa; Chordata; Mammalia; Eulipotyphla; Erinaceidae.
GGCCCUGAGGUGUUAACACAUAUUGAAUUGCAAAUUCAAAGAAGCAGCUUCAAUUCUGCCGGGGCCU